GCAAUCGACCACAGGACAUGGAGAACAGGGCUUCCCGUUCGCUCAGCCGUACUCAAGCCAUGUGCCGGCCGGUUCGGAGUUGGGUGGGUGACCACCAGCGAAUACCGGCUGUUGAUUGUU
Molecule: ribosomal RNA, 120 nt
Organism: Endocarpon pusillum Z07020
Lineage: Eukaryota; Fungi; Ascomycota; Eurotiomycetes; Verrucariales; Verrucariaceae
Source: Rfam